This 418-nucleotide ribosomal RNA is filed under the name uncultured bacterium. RNAcentral describes it as "bacterial SSU rRNA". It matches the Rfam family "Bacterial small subunit ribosomal RNA", at positions 917 to 1333 of the family's 1533-position model. The record is from RNAcentral.
GGACCCGCACAAGUAGUGGAGCAUGUGGUUUAAUUCGAAGAUACGCGCAGAACCUUACCAACACUUGACAUGUUCGUCGCGACUCUAAGAGAUUAGAGUUUUCGGUUCGGCCGGACGAAACACAGGUGCUGCAUGGCUGUCGUCAGCUCGUGUCGUGAGAUGUUGGGUUAAGUCCCGCAACGAGCGCAACCCUCACUUUUAGUUGCCAUCAUUAAGUUGGGCACUCUGAAAGAACUGCCAGUGAUAAGCUGGAGGAAGGUGGGGAUGACGUCAAGUCCUCAUGGCCCUUACGUGUUGGGCUACACACGUGCUACAAUGGUAUCUACAACAGGAAGCAAGACUGCGAAGUUAAGCCAAACUCAAAAACUUACCUCAGUUCGGAUUGCACUCUGCAACUCGAGUGCAUGAAGCUGGAAUC